AAUCAACGCUGGCGGCGCGCUUAACACAUGCAAGUCGAACGAGAAAGGGGAGCAAUCCCUGAGUAAAGUGGCAGACGGGUGAGUAACACGUGGGUCAUCCACUCCUUGGUAGGGGAUAACCCUGGGAAACCGGGGCUAAUACCGCAUAAGUCCGAGAGGAGAAAGGCGAAAGUCGCCGAGGAAGGAGCCCGCGGCCGAUUAGCUAGUUGGUAGGGUAAAGGCCUACCAAGGCUUUGAUCGGUAGCCGGCCUGAGAGGGCACACGGCCACACUGGCACUGAGACACGGGCCAGACUCCUACGGGAGGCAGCAGUGGGGAAUCUUGCACAAUGGGGGAAACCCUGAUGCAGCGACGCCGCGUGAGCGAUGAAGCCCUUCGGGUGUAAGACUCUUUCG
RNAcentral lists this ribosomal RNA (395 nucleotides) under uncultured bacterium. Its description in RNAcentral is "bacterial SSU rRNA". It matches the Rfam family "Bacterial small subunit ribosomal RNA", at positions 29 to 438 of the family's 1533-position model. The record is from RNAcentral.